GAUGAACGCUGGCGGCGUGCCUAAUACAUGCAAGUCGAGCGAACAGACGAGGAGCUUGCUCCUCUGACGUUAGCGGCGGACGGGUGAGUAACACGUGGAUAACCUACCUAUAAGACUGGGAUAACUUCGGGAAACCGGAGCUAAUACCGGAUAACAUGUUGAACCGCAUGGUUCAACAGUGAAAGACGGUCUUGCUGUCACUUAUAGAUGGAUCCGCGCCGCAUUAGCUAGUUGGUAAGGUAACGGCUUACCAAGGCAACGAUGCGUAGCCGACCUGAGAGGGUGAUCGGCCACACUGGAACUGAAACACGGUCCAGACUCCUACGGGAGGCAGCAGUAGGGAAUCUUCCGCAAUGGGCGAAAGCCUGACGGAGCAACGCCGCGUGAGUGAAGAAGGUCUUCGGAUCGUAAAACUCUGUUAUUAGGGAAGAACAAAUGUGUAAGUAACUAUGCACGUCUUGACGGUACCUAAUCAGAAAGCCACGGCUAACUACGUG
RNAcentral lists this ribosomal RNA (497 nucleotides) under uncultured bacterium. RNAcentral describes it as "partial 16S ribosomal RNA". It matches the Rfam family "Bacterial small subunit ribosomal RNA", at positions 28 to 507 of the family's 1533-position model. The record is from RNAcentral.